GAUGAAGAACGUAGCGAAAUGCGAUAAGUAGUGUGAAUUGCAGAAUUCAGUGAAUCAUCGAAUCUUUGAACGCACAUUGCGCCCCUUGGUAUUCCAUGGGGCAUGCCUGUUCGAGCGUCAUUUGUACCUUCAAGCUUUGCUUGGUGUUGGGUGUUUGUCUCGCCUUUGCGUGUAGACUCGCCUUAAAAUAAUUGGCAGCCGGCGUAUUGAUUUCGGAGCGCAGUACAUCUCGCGCUUUGCACUCAUAACGACAGCGUCCAAAAGUACAUUUUACACUCUUGACCUCGGAUCAGGUAUGGAUACCCGCUGAACUUAAGCAUAACAAUAAGCGGAGGA
Molecule: unclassified non-coding RNA, 336 nt
Filed under: soil metagenome
Description: partial contains 5.8S ribosomal RNA, internal transcribed spacer 2, and large subunit ribosomal RNA
Rfam family: 5.8S ribosomal RNA (bases 1-120)
Source: RNAcentral